Molecule: ribosomal RNA, 251 nt
Filed under: uncultured bacterium
Lineage: Bacteria
Description: partial 16S ribosomal RNA
Rfam family: Bacterial small subunit ribosomal RNA
Source: RNAcentral
UACGAGGGGGCAAGCGUUGUUCGGAAUUAUUGGGCGUAAAGGGCGCGUAGGCGGUUUGACAAGUCUGAUGUGAAAUCUCUGGGCUCAACCCAGAGUCUGCAUUAGAAACUGUCGGGCUUGAGUAUGGGAGAGGUGAGUGGAAUUUCCGGUGUAGCGGUGAAAUGCGUAGAUAUCGGAAGGAACACCUGUGGCGAAAGCGGCUCACUGGACCUAACUGACGCUGAGGCGCGAAAGCUAGGGGAGCAAACAGG